AAAAUCAUAUAUUUAAAAAUAUCUACUUGCAAUCAAGAUCAUUGAAAGCCACAUCAUUUAGGCCAAUAUUAGUAUACUUUGAAGAUAAGAAAUGAUAUGUUUCGGAUGCGUAUCGGAGCAAUCAACCAAAGGCAUCAAAAUUAAUUCUGUUUUUCUUUCAUUAAGAUUUUAUUUAGAAAUCAUAUGGAGUUUAAGCUUUUAUACAAAAUCAGAUUCUGAAUUACAUAGGAUUUUCAAUUGAGGCUUUCAAAAUCAUAAUUUGAGAUGUGUAUCUUCCAGAUUGUAGCUCAUCUUAAAUCAUUACGUUUGAAAACACAUAUUUCAAACAUGUAAGAGCAUAUUCAGAGUAUUUGUAUUUAUGUUGAGUUUUGGUAUGAGUUAGAACAUUAUAUACCAAAGUUAAUCAAGUUGAAGGAUAAAAACAAACUCAAUUCAUUUUGCCUAAAUAGAGAUAUCCUUCUCUUCUCCUUUUUAC
RNAcentral lists this long non-coding RNA (475 nucleotides) under Phoenix dactylifera (date palm). RNAcentral's name for it is "long non-coding RNA (PDAC_LNC016478)". Lineage: Eukaryota; Viridiplantae; Streptophyta; Magnoliopsida; Arecales; Arecaceae. The record is from RNAcentral.